Molecule: ribosomal RNA, 243 nt
Filed under: uncultured bacterium
Lineage: Bacteria
Description: partial 16S ribosomal RNA
Rfam family: Bacterial small subunit ribosomal RNA
Source: RNAcentral
GAUGAACGCUAGCGGCAGGCCUAAUACAUGCAAGCCGAACGGCAAGUCUUAUAGCAAUAUGAGACCUAGAGUGGCGUAAGGGUGCGUAACACGUAUGCAAUCUGCCCGCAACCGGAGGAUAGCUCCCCGAAAGGGAAGUUAAGACUCCAUAAAAUAGGAGAGGUGGCAUCACCAUUUCUAUUAAAUUACAAGAGGUUGUGGAUGAGCAUGCGCAUGAUUAGUUAGUUGGCGGGGUAAGGGCCC